GAGUAUAAAUUUUUUACAGGUGCCCCUGUGAGGGGAGAAUAGGGAAUCGGGUGCAAAUCCCGAACGGUCCCGCCACUGUAAGCGGUGAGCCAGAUACCCAUUUUGUCACUGACCGAAGGUUGGGAAGGCGGGUAUCAGGCAUUGACCCGCAAGUCAGGAGACCUGCCUGUUACGAAAGAUAUGA
This 184-nucleotide non-coding RNA is filed under the name Desulforamulus reducens. The record is from RNAcentral. Lineage: Bacteria; Bacillati; Bacillota; Clostridia; Eubacteriales; Peptococcaceae. RNAcentral also lists the same sequence under 1 other name.